UUCGGGUCUAGUGGCGCACGGGUGCGUAACGCGUGGGAAUCUGCCCUUAGGUACGGAAUAACUCAGAGAAAUUUGUGCUAAUACCGUAUGAUGUCGAAAGACCAAAGAUUUAUCGCCUAAGGAUGAGCCCGCGUAAGAUUAGCUUGUUGGUGAGGUAAAAGCUCACCAAGGCGACGAUCUUUAGCUGGUCUGAGAGGAUGAUCAGCCACACUGGGACUGAGACACGGCCCAGACUCCUACGGGAGGCAGCAGUGGGGAAUAUUGGACAAUGGGCGAAAGCCUGAUCCAGCAAUGCCGCGUGAGUGAUGAAGGCCUUAGGGUUGUAAAGCUCUUUUACCAGGGAUGAUAAUGACAGUACCUGGAGAAUAAGCUCCGGCUAACUCCGUGCCAGCAGCCGCGGUAAUACGGA
This 409-nucleotide ribosomal RNA is filed under the name bacterium AET28O. Its description in RNAcentral is "bacterial SSU rRNA". It matches the Rfam family "Bacterial small subunit ribosomal RNA", at positions 85 to 529 of the family's 1533-position model. The record is from RNAcentral.